GACGAACGCUGGCGGCGUGCUUAACACAUGCAAGUCGAACGGGAUGAUUUAGAAGCUUGCUUUUAGAGAAUCUAGUGGCAAACGGGUGAGUAACACGUAGACAACCUGCCGACAGGAUGGGGACAACAUUCCGAAAGGAAUGCUAAUACCGAAUGAAGUCAGAGAAGGGCAUCCCUUUCUGAUGAAAGAUGGCCUCUGAAUAUGCUAUCACCUGUCGAUGGGUCUGCGUCUGAUUAGCUGGUUGGUGAGGUAACGGCUCACCAAGGCGACGAUCAGUAGCCGGUCUGAGAGGACGAACGGCCACAUUGGGACUGAGACACGGCCCAGACUCCUACGGGAGGCAGCAGUGGGGAAUCUUCCGCAAUGGGCGCAAGCCUGACGGAGCAACGCCGCGUGAGUGAAGAAGGUCUUCGGAUCGUAAAGCUCUGUUGAUGGGGACGAACGUGCGAAGGGUGAAUAAUCCUUUGCAAUGACG
This 475-nucleotide ribosomal RNA is filed under the name Centipeda periodontii. RNAcentral's name for it is "bacterial SSU rRNA". It matches the Rfam family "Bacterial small subunit ribosomal RNA", at positions 28 to 474 of the family's 1533-position model. Lineage: Bacteria; Bacillati; Bacillota; Negativicutes; Selenomonadales; Selenomonadaceae. The record is from RNAcentral.